AUGCAAGUCGAACGAGGGUACAAUACUCUAGUGGCGGACGGGUGAGGAAUACGUAGGAAUUUGCCCUUAAGUGGGGGAUAACCCGGGGAAACCCGGAUUAAUACCGCAUGAUCUUUUCGAAGCAAAGCCGGGGACCGCAAGGCCUGGCGCUUUUGGAGAAGCCUACGUCGGAUUAGCUAGUUGGUGAGGUAAUGGCUCACCAAGGCUGCGAUCCGUAACUGGUCUGAGAGGAUGAUCAGUCACAUCGGAACUGAGACACGGUCCGAACUCCUACGGGAGGCAGCAGUGGGGAAUAUUGGACAAUGGGCGAAAGCCUGAUCCAGCAAUACCGCGUGUGUGAAGAAGGCCUUCGGGUUGUAAAGCACUUUAGGUCGGAAAGAAAAAACUUGAGUUAAUACCUUAAGUCUUGACGGUACCGACAGAAUAAGCACCGGCUAACUCUGUGCCAGCAGCCGCGGUAAUACAGAGGGUGCAAGCGUUAAUCGGAUUUACUGGGCGUAAAGCGUGCGUAGGUGGCUGUUUAAGUCGGAUGUGAAAGCCCUGGGCUUAACCUGGGAACUGCAUUCGAUACUGGAUAGCUAGAGAUCGGUAGAGGGCAGCGGAAUUCCGGGUGUAGCGGUGAAAUGCGUAGAUAUCCGGAGGAACACCGAUGGCGAAGGCAACUGCCUGGGCCUGAUCUGACACUGAGGCACGAAAGCGUGGGUAGCAAACAGGAUUAGAUACCCUGGUAGUCCACGCUGUAAACGAUGAGAACUUGACGUCUGCUUGCUAUGCGAGUAGGUGUCGUAGCUAACGCG
This 797-nucleotide ribosomal RNA is filed under the name uncultured Nevskia sp. Its description in RNAcentral is "bacterial SSU rRNA". It matches the Rfam family "Bacterial small subunit ribosomal RNA", at positions 55 to 859 of the family's 1533-position model. Lineage: Bacteria; Pseudomonadati; Pseudomonadota; Gammaproteobacteria; Nevskiales; Nevskiaceae. The record is from RNAcentral.